Prinia subflava (tawny-flanked prinia) is the source of this 3489-nucleotide RNA transcript. It is a transcript of the gene named protein phosphatase 3 catalytic subunit beta, with no coding region annotated. The record is from RefSeq and is a predicted model, not a curated record. The transcript is spliced from 17 exons. NCBI's taxonomy places the organism in Eukaryota, Metazoa, Chordata, Aves, Passeriformes, Cisticolidae.
CCGCAUUCCCCGCCCCGCCCCGCGCCGCCGGCCCGGCUCGGGCGGGAGUCUCGCCGCGGUCCCGGUUGGGGCCGGGAGCUCCGCGCGCUCCCGCGGUGCCCGGCGGGCGGCGGCGCGGUGCAUGCCGGGCCCGGGGCGGACCGUCCCCGCGCUGCGCCAGGAGCCGCGAGCCGCGCCCGCCGCCAUGUUCCGCCGGGCCGCCGCCGCCCGGCGCCUGUAGCCGCCCCCGCCCGCCCCGCCGCGCCCCGCCAGCCGCCGGCGGAGGGGCGGACGAAGGCGCUGCCGCGCCCAGCAGCCGCCGCCGGAGCCCGGCAGCGCCCAGCGAUGUCCGCCAAGGAGGGGAGCAAGGUGCUGCUGCUGACGCCCCACGCCACCAGCGAGCGCGCCGUCAAGGCUGUCCCUUUUCCACCAACGCAUCGCUUGACAUCUGAAGAAGUGUUUGACACAGAUGGAAGACCAAGGGUUGACAUUUUGAAAAACCACUUGAUAAAGGAAGGUCGAGUGGAUGAAGAAAUCGCACUUAGAAUCAUCAAUGAGGGUGCUGCAAUAUUACGGAGGGAAAAAACUAUGAUAGAAGUUGAAGCUCCAAUUACAGUGUGUGGUGAUAUUCAUGGCCAGUUCUUUGAUCUAAUGAAGCUGUUUGAAGUGGGAGGAUCACCUGCUAACACAAGAUACCUCUUCCUCGGUGACUAUGUAGACAGAGGUUAUUUUAGUAUAGAGUGCGUGCUGUACUUAUGGGUCCUGAAAAUUCUUUACCCAAGCACAUUGUUUCUUUUGAGAGGCAACCAUGAAUGCAGACACCUAACAGAGUAUUUUACCUUUAAGCAAGAAUGUAAAAUAAAGUACUCUGAGAGAGUCUAUGAUGCUUGUAUGGAAGCUUUUGAUUGUCUCCCUCUUGCUGCUCUCUUAAAUCAACAAUUUCUUUGUGUUCAUGGUGGACUUUCACCAGAAAUUAACACACUAGAUGACAUUAGGAGAUUAGAUAGAUUCAAAGAGCCUCCAGCCUUUGGACCAAUGUGUGACUUAUUGUGGUCAGAUCCUUCAGAAGAUUUUGGAAAUGAAAAUUCACCAGAGCAUUUCAGUCAUAAUACAGUCAGAGGCUGCUCAUACUUUUAUAGCUAUCCAGCAGUUUGUGAAUUUUUGCAAAAUAAUAAUUUGUUGUCAAUCAUUAGAGCACAUGAAGCACAAGAUGCAGGUUAUAGAAUGUACAGGAAAAGUCAAACUACAGGGUUCCCAUCUUUAAUAACAAUUUUUUCAGCACCUAAUUACCUGGAUGUCUACAAUAAUAAAGCUGCUGUAUUAAAAUAUGAAAACAAUGUGAUGAAUAUUCGUCAGUUCAAUUGUUCUCCUCAUCCUUACUGGCUACCAAAUUUUAUGGAUGUUUUCACAUGGUCUUUGCCAUUUGUUGGAGAAAAAGUAACAGAAAUGUUGGUGAAUGUUUUGAGCAUUUGCUCUGAUGAUGAGCUGAUGACAGAGGGCGAAGAUCAAUUUGACGUAGGUACAGCUGCCGCAAGGAAAGAAAUAAUCAGAAACAAAAUUCGUGCAAUUGGCAAGAUGGCAAGAGUCUUCUCUGUUCUCAGGGAGGAGAGUGAAAGUGUGCUGACACUCAAGGGUUUGACUCCCACUGGAAUGUUACCUAGUGGAGUGUUGGCUGGAGGACGACAGACCCUGCAAAGUGCCACUGUAGAGGCAAUUGAGGCUGAAAAAGCAAUACGAGGAUUCUCUCCGCAACAUAAAAUCUGCAGUUUUGAAGAAGCAAAAGGUUUGGAUAGGAUCAAUGAGAGAAUGCCACCAAGAAAAGAUGCUCUUCAGCAAGAUGGUAUUAAUACUAUAAACACAGCAAAUGCCAAUGGAAACAAUGGAACUGGCAACAACAAUGCACAGUGACCACAUCAGCUUCUGGUUUACUCCCUCAUGUCCUGCCUGAGAAUUCCUAAUUACUGCUUUUUGAUGUGACAACAAAUGAAAUAGGGGGAUCGCUUGAAGUGACUACUUAACACGAGGUGGAAAACCAUCUGACUUGAUCCCACUGAAGAGAGACCAUCAUGCUUUUGAGACAACAGCCCCUGUCUCACACGGUGACCCAACCUCUGGGAGCGUGUGCCUCACCCUUUCACACAAACAUCCAGCACUGGCUGCUGCAGCUGCAGAGAGAUCUGGGGAAAGGAUCGGACUGUUCUCACUAAAGCACACCUAGACUAGCAUCUUACGCUUACCUUGGCAACACUUUUAAGUUUACAAAUGGGAUUUUUCUUUCAGUAGAGAUGCAUUCUAAUUGGAAAUUCUUCUCAGAAUUUGAGUCCAGAAGAUCAAGUUAAAAAUGGUGGAAUCUGCAGCUGUCUCUAAUUCUUAAAUUGUUUGGGAGAAGAAAUUAUUUCCUUACUCCCAGAAAACUGCUUCAAGUUGCAAAGACUCUUCCCAAACGAACUAAUGAAUUAUCUUACUGAAUAUGCACACCUGAAAUAUGUCAGGUUUCCCUCCUACUUUAUUUAGAAGUUGCUUAUUUCAAGUAAGAAUAUCUCCAGAAAGCACUUACUACACUUGUGUCAGUAGGGCUUAUAUGACAUUUUAUGUGCUUUGGUGCUUGUUUUGGCAUUUUGCUGCCCAGUGCAUGGAUGGAUACUGCUAAACAUACUGGCUGAGCAGGCUGAAUACAUUCUCUCCAAUACUGUUGUAUCAAUAGAGGUUAAUAUACUAUUUAAAUGAUGUGGUUGUCAGUUAUUGUAAACUACUGGAUUCAUCAAAAUAAAAAUUAGCAGCAUGAGCUUCUCCAGGUUUGCUUUCUUGUGGAUUUUGACCUUUAACCAGACAUCUAGAGCAUAGCUGAACUCUUACAAAGGUAGAAGCCAAUGAGAUAGAGAAGUGUUAUAGAAAUUCUAACAGAAAUAAGCAAAUUGAUCAGAGAAAUGUGGGAAGUUGCAUUAGUUACAUUAUUUCUUCUUAAAUGUGUGUAAUUGCAAGUUGUUAUUCUUCAGCACAAAAUGAGCCCUAUUAAAUGAUAAGGGAUAAACCAGCCCCAGUGCUCAUCUGAGCUCAACAGCAGCACCUCCCUGCCACUGGUGAUAUGAAGAGAAGGCAGGCUGUGGAGUAAUCUGGGGGAGAGGCACAUCUUAUCUUGUCUGUAGGGAUUCUCACAAGCAUUCUACAGACCACAGAGGUUAUCCAAUCAGCUUCACCCAGAUUACAUUGUUAACAUGCAAAAAGUAAAAAGCAUCUUGCUCUAACAGCAGUGUAGAGCACUGUUUUAGGGAACCACCUGGUUGUAUCUGCACAGUAUUUCCACAUAAGUUCUCAUAUUAUUUGAGGGUGCUAAAUUAGGUCACACAAUUCAUCAUGGAUUUGUAGAUAAGAAGCAUCUCUUGAGGAAGGACUCAAGUGUCACAUCUUAGGGAAUAAAUUCAUGACCAUGGGCUAGUUUCUUAAAACCUGCCUCUUGCUAAGCACACACAGGCUAUUUAUGGAGCCAUUAUGACUAAACACGACAGACUG